GGAGGACCGAACCCGUGUAAGUUGAAAAUUGCUGGGAUGAGGUGUGGAUAGCGGUGAAAUUCCAAACGAACUUGGAGAUAGCUGGUUCUCUCCGAAAUAGCUUUAGGGCUAGCCUCGGAAUUAGGAUCAUGGAGGUAGAGCACUAUUUGGACUAGGGGCCCGUCUUGGGUUACUGAAUUCAGAUAAACUCCGAAUGCCAUUGAUUCAUAUCCGGGAGUCAGACGAUGAGUGAUAAGAUCCACCGUCGAAAGGGGAACAGCCCAGACCAUCAGUUAAGGUCCCUAAAUGUAUGCUAAGUGGAAAAGGAUGUGGAGUUGCAUAGACAACUAGGAUGUUGGCUCAGAAGCAGCCACCAUUUAAAGAGUGCGUAAUAGCUCACUAGUCGAGUGAUCCUGCGCCGAAAAUGUACCGGGGCUAAGCAUACUACCGAAACCAUGGAUGCGACCAUUAGGUCGCGUGAUAGGAGAGCGUUCUAAGGGCGGUGAAGCAAGAUCGUGAGGACUUGUGGAGCGCUUAGAA
Molecule: ribosomal RNA, 519 nt
Filed under: Lactobacillus delbrueckii subsp. bulgaricus
Lineage: Bacteria; Bacillati; Bacillota; Bacilli; Lactobacillales; Lactobacillaceae
Description: partial 23S ribosomal RNA
Rfam family: Bacterial large subunit ribosomal RNA
Source: RNAcentral